This 505-nucleotide ribosomal RNA is filed under the name Bacillus sp. (in: firmicutes). RNAcentral describes it as "bacterial SSU rRNA". It matches the Rfam family "Bacterial small subunit ribosomal RNA", at positions 381 to 877 of the family's 1533-position model. Lineage: Bacteria; Bacillati; Bacillota; Bacilli; Caryophanales; Bacillaceae. The record is from RNAcentral.
GUCUGACGGAGCAACGCCGCGUGAACGAUGAAGGCUUUCGGGUCGUAAAGUUCUGUUGUCAGGGAAGAACAAGUAUCGGAGUAACUGCCGGUACCUUGACGGUACCUGACCAGAAAGCCACGGCUAACUACGUGCCAGCAGCCGCGGUAAUACGUAGGUGGCAAGCGUUGUCCGGAAUUAUUGGGCGUAAAGCGCGCGCAGGCGGUUCCUUAAGUCUGAUGUGAAAGCCCCCGGCUCAACCGGGGAGGGUCAUUGGAAACUGGGGAACUUGAGUGCAGAAGAGGAGAGCGGAAUUCCACGUGUAGCGGUGAAAUGCGUAGAGAUGUGGAGGAACACCAGUGGCGAAGGCGGCUCUCUGGUCUGUAACUGACGCUGAGGCGCGAAAGCGUGGGGAGCGAACAGGAUUAGAUACCCUGGUAGUCCACGCCGUAAACGAUGAGUGCUAAGUGUUAGAGGGUUUCCGCCCUUUAGUGCUGCAGCAAACGCAUUAAGCACUCCGCCUGGG